RNAcentral lists this transfer RNA (77 nucleotides) under compost metagenome. RNAcentral describes it as "tRNA-Cys". The record is from RNAcentral.
CGCUGAUUGAGUGGUUGAGGGGCGACGGGGCGUUGCAGGCGCUGCUGGGCGAUCCGGUUCGGGUCUGGGACCAGCCG